AACGAACGCUGGCGGCAUGCCUAACACAUGCAAGUCGAACGAGACCUUCGGGUCUAGUGGCGCACGGGUGCGUAACGCGUGGGAACCUGCCCUUAGGUUCGGAAUAACUCCCCGAAAGGGGUGCUAAUACCGGAUAAUGUCUUCGGACCAAAGAUUUAUCGCCUUUGGAUGGGCCCGCGUUGGAUUAGCUAGUUGGUAGGGUAAAAGCCUACCAAGGCGACGAUCCAUAGCUGGUCUGAGAGGAUGGUCAGCCACACUGGGACUGAGACACGGCCCAGACUCCUACGCGAGGCAGCAGUGGGGAAUAUUGGACCAUGGGCGAAAGCCUGAUCCAGCACUGCCGGGUGAGUGAUGAAGGCAUUAGGGUUGUAAAGCUCUUUUACCCGGGAUGAUAAUGACAGUACCGGGAGAAUAAGCCCCGGCUAACUCCGUG
RNAcentral lists this ribosomal RNA (433 nucleotides) under uncultured bacterium. Its description in RNAcentral is "partial 16S ribosomal RNA". It matches the Rfam family "Bacterial small subunit ribosomal RNA", at positions 29 to 507 of the family's 1533-position model. The record is from RNAcentral.